CACGUAGGCGGAUAUUUAAGUCAGGUGUGAAAGACCGCAGCCUAACUGCGGGGUUUGCACUUGAAAACUGGGGUAUCUUGAGGGCGAGGAGAGGUCAGUAGAAUUCCUGGUGUAGCGGUGAAAUGCGUAGAAAUCAGGAGGAAUACCAGUGGCGAAGGCGGCUGACUGGACUGGCCCUGACGCUGAGGUGCGAAAGCGUGGGGAGCAAACA
This 211-nucleotide ribosomal RNA is filed under the name uncultured Syntrophobacteraceae bacterium. RNAcentral's name for it is "partial 16S ribosomal RNA". It matches the Rfam family "Bacterial small subunit ribosomal RNA", at positions 568 to 774 of the family's 1533-position model. The record is from RNAcentral. Lineage: Bacteria; Pseudomonadati; Thermodesulfobacteriota; Syntrophobacteria; Syntrophobacterales; Syntrophobacteraceae.